UGCCAGCAGCCGCGGUAAUACGAAGGGUGCAAGCGUUGUUCGGAAUUAUUGGGCGUAAAGCGCUCGUAGGCGGUUUGUUAAGUCGGAUGUGAAAGCCCCGGGCUCAACCUGGGAACUGCAUUCGAUACUGGCAGACUAGAGUAUAGUAGAGGCAAGUGGAAUUCCGGGUGUAGCGGUGAAAUGCGUAGAUAUCCGGAGGAACAUCAGUGGCGAAGGCGACUUGCUGGACUAAUACUGACGCUGGGAGCGAAAGCGUGGGGAGCAAACGGGAUUAGAUA
This 278-nucleotide ribosomal RNA is filed under the name uncultured bacterium. RNAcentral describes it as "partial 16S ribosomal RNA". It matches the Rfam family "Bacterial small subunit ribosomal RNA", at positions 506 to 784 of the family's 1533-position model. The record is from RNAcentral.